UUAGAGUUUGAUCAUGGCUCAGAACGUACGCUGGCGGCACGCCUAACACAUGCAAGUCGAACGAAGUAGCAAUACUUAGUGGCAGACGGGUGAGUAACAUGUGGGUAUCUGCCCUUUGGCCUGGAAUAACACGAGGAAACUUGUGCUAAUACUGGAUAAGUCUUUACGGAGAAAGCUUUAUGCACCAUUGGAUGAGCCCGCACUUGAUUAGUUUGUUGGUGGGGUAAUGGCCUACCAAGACUGUGAUCAAUAGCUGAUUUGAGAGGAUGAUCAGCCACAUUGGGACUGAGACACGGCCCAAACUCCUACGGGAGGCAGCAGUGGGGAAUCUUGCACAAUGGAGGAAACUCUGAUGCAGCGAUGCCGCGUGAGUGAAGAAGGCCCUUGGGUUGUAAAGCUCUUUCGUCGGGGAAGAAAAUGACUGUACCCGAAUAAGAAGGUCCGGCUAACUUCGUGCCAGCAGCCGCGGUAAUACGAAGGGACCUAGCGUAGUUCGGAAUUACUGGGCUUAAAGAGUUCGUAGGUGGUUGAAAAAGUUGGUGGUGAAAUCCCAGAGCUUAACUCUGGAACUGCCAUCAAAACUUUUCAGCUAGAGUUUGAUAGAGGAAAGCAGAAUUUCUAGUGUAGAGGUGAAAUUCGUAGAUAUUAGAAAGAAUACCAAUUGCGAAGGCAGCUUUCUGGAUCAUUACUGACACUGAGGAACGAAAGCAUGGGUAGCGAAGAGGAUUAGAUACCCUCGUAGUCCAUGCUGUAAACGAUGUGUGUUAGACGUUGGAAAUUUAUUUUCAGUGUCGCAGCGAAAGCGAUAAACACACCGCCUGGGGAGUACGACCGCAAGGUUAAAACUCAAAUGAAUUGACGGGGACCCGCACAAGUAGUGGAGCAUGUGGUUUAAUUCGAAGAUACGCGCAGAACCUUACCAACACUUGACAUGUUCGUCGCGACUUUAAGAGAUUAAAGUUUUCGGUUCGGCCGGACGAAACACAGGUGCUGCAUGGCUGUCGUCAGCUCGUGUCGUGAGAUGUUGGGUUAAGUCCCGCAACGAGCGCAACCCUCACUUUUAGUUGCCAUCAUUUAGUUGGGCACUCUGAAAGAACUGCCAGUGAUAAGCUGGAGGAAGGUGGGGAUGACGUCAAGUCCUCAUGGCCCUUACGUGUUGGGCUACACACGUGCUACAAUGGUAUUUACAACAGGAAGCAAAACAGCGAUGUUAAGCAAAUCCUCAAAAGAUACCUCAGUUCGGAUUGCACUCUGCAACUCGAGUGCAUGAAGCUGGAAUUACUAGUAAUCGUGGAUCAGCGUGCCACGGUGAAUGCGUUCCC
This 1322-nucleotide ribosomal RNA is filed under the name unidentified marine bacterioplankton. RNAcentral describes it as "bacterial SSU rRNA". It matches the Rfam family "Bacterial small subunit ribosomal RNA", at positions 1 to 1375 of the family's 1533-position model. The record is from RNAcentral.